GUACUGAUGAAGAGUUCGAAACUAGGACGAAACAGCUGUCCAGUAC
Molecule: non-coding RNA, 46 nt
Organism: Trichobilharzia regenti
Lineage: Eukaryota; Metazoa; Platyhelminthes; Trematoda; Strigeidida; Schistosomatidae
Source: Rfam